UGAGGAAUAUUGGUCAAUGGGCGAGAGCCUGAACCAGCCAAGUAGCGUGAAGGAUGACUGCCCCAUGGGUUGUAAACUUCUUUUAUAAAGGAAUAAAGUCGGGUAUGGAUACCCGUUUGCAUGUACUUUAUGAAUAAGGAUCGGCUAACUCCGUGCC
Molecule: ribosomal RNA, 157 nt
Filed under: uncultured bacterium
Lineage: Bacteria
Description: partial 16S ribosomal RNA
Rfam family: Bacterial small subunit ribosomal RNA
Source: RNAcentral